GAUGAAGAACCGUAGCGAAAUGCGAUAAGUAAUGUGAAUUGCAGAAUUCAGUGAAUCAUCGAAUCUUUGAACGCACAUUGCGCCCCUUGGUAUUCCGAGGGGCAUGCCUGUUCGAGCGUCAUUAUAACCCCUCAAGCUCAGCUUGGUGUUGGGGCCUGCUGCACUGGCAGCCCUUAAAAUCAGUGGCGGCGCCAUCUGGCUCUAAGCGUAGUAAUUCUUCUCGCUAUGGAGUCCUGGUGGAUGCUUGCCAUCAACCCCCAAUUUUUCUAUGGUUGACCUCGGAUCAGGUAGGGAUACCCGCUGAACUUAAGCAUAUCAAUAAGCGGAGGA
This 330-nucleotide unclassified non-coding RNA is filed under the name soil metagenome. RNAcentral describes it as "partial contains 5.8S ribosomal RNA, internal transcribed spacer 2, and large subunit ribosomal RNA". The stretch from base 1 to 121 matches the Rfam family "5.8S ribosomal RNA", at positions 35 to 154 of the family's 154-position model. The record is from RNAcentral.